AGAGUUUGAUCCUGGCUCAGGACGAACUCUGGCGGCGUGCCUAACACAUGCAAGUCGAACGGAGUUGAAAGGAGCUUGCUUUUUUCAACUCAGUGGCGGACGGGUGAGUAACGCGUGAGUAACCUGCCUUUCAGAGGGGGAUAACGUUCUGAAAAGAACGCUAAUACCGCAUAAGAUUGUAGUUUCGCAUGGAGCAGCAAUCAAAGGAGCAAUCCGCUGAAAGAUGGACUCGCGUCCGAUUAGAUAGUUGGCGGGGUAACGGCCACCAAGUCGACGAUCGGUAGCCGGACUGAGAGGUUGAUCGGCCACAUUGGGACUGAGACACGGCCCAGACUCCUACGGGAGGCAGCAGUGAGGGAUAUUGGGCAAUGGGGGAAACCCUGACCCAGCAACGCCGCGUGAGGGAUGACGGUUUUCGGAUUGUAAACCUCUGUCCUCUGUGAAGAUAGUGACGGUAGCAGAGGAGGAAGCUCCGGCUAACUACGUGCCAGCAGCCGCGGUAAUACGUAGGGAGCAAGCGUUGUCCGGACUUACUGGGUGUAAAGGGUGCGUAGGCGGAUUGGCAAGUCAGAAGUGAAAUCCAUGGGCUUAACCCAUGAACUGCUUUUGAAACUGUUAGUCUUGAGUGGAGUAGAGGUAGGCGGAAUUCCCGGUGUAGCGGUGAAAUGCGUAGAGAUCGGGAGGAACACCAGUGGCGAAGGCGGCCUACUGGGCUUUAACUGACGCUGAGGCACGAAAGUGUGGGUAGCAAACAGGAUUAGAUACCUUGGUAGUCCACACUGUAAACGAUGAU
RNAcentral lists this ribosomal RNA (793 nucleotides) under uncultured bacterium. RNAcentral describes it as "bacterial SSU rRNA". It matches the Rfam family "Bacterial small subunit ribosomal RNA", at positions 8 to 813 of the family's 1533-position model. The record is from RNAcentral.